GGCCGAGGAGGAGAACGGAGCCCGGAGAGGCUAUGGCAAGGAGGAUGGAGGCUAUGGCUCUCGUCGUGGCUAUGCCAGGAAGGAGGAUGGAGCCUAUGGGCCCUAUGGGCGCAGUCACCCCAAGGAGGAAGAUGGAGAGUACGGCCCUCGCCGCGGCUACGCCGAGGAGGAUGGAGGGUACGGCCCGUGGCACGGCUACAGCGGGGAAGAGGAGGGAGCCUAUGGCCCCCGGCACAACUACUCCGAGGAGGAGGAGGAAGGCUACAUGCAGAGCCCAGCCUACCCAGCAGGGUAUGGCUUCGAGGAUGCCGUGCCGACCCCCUACUCUGACUACCCUGGCUAUGAGACAGAGGAGGAGUACGACUCCUACGGGGGAUUUUGGGAGGACGGUGAGCAGCCAGGGCACCCCUACGGCUACUCAGAGCUCGAGGAUGAGGGAGUGUAUGGUGGUGGGUCUCCCCUCAGCCUCUAUGACCCAUACAGCAGCGACCCGGAGUACGGUGAGGAGGCAGAGGGGCCCUUCGGCUACAGGAGGGACCCCUACGAGGAUUUUGGGGAGUCUUUUGCCAGGGGGUACCCUGGGGGCGACUACCCCGAGCAUCGCAUCCAGUACAGCGAGGGCGGCUGGGCGCCGCAUGCCCAAUCCUCCUGCAACCCCUACGCCCUGGGCCUGGAGGAGAUCGCUGAGGGCGAGGAGCCCGAGGAGUGGGAAGAAGAGGAGGAAGAAGAGAAGGAGUAUCCCUUUUCCAUCCUGAGCACCUCCUCGCUCCGGGGCAUGCGGGAGACGCUCUCCUCCAAGCUCUCCCUCAACAGGAAAUUCAGGCUCUUCCCCCGACCCCAGGUCAAGCUUUUCGGCAGGGACCGCCUGGACGUUCCCCUCCCGCCGUCCCCGCACCUGCCCGCUGCCCGAGACGAGGACGACUACGACGAGUACGAGCCGCCGCCGCCUCCGGCAGCCCCCGGCCCCGCGGCAUCCCCGACACGCCGGCUUUCGGCGGCGCGGGUGUGCGGGAGCCCUCUGGGCCAG
RNAcentral lists this long non-coding RNA (1027 nucleotides) under Cyanistes caeruleus (blue tit). Its description in RNAcentral is "lncRNA (ENSCCEG00000004908.1)". The record is from RNAcentral. Lineage: Eukaryota; Metazoa; Chordata; Aves; Passeriformes; Paridae.